GACGAACGCUGGCGGCGUGCUUAACACAUGCAAGUCGAACGGAAAGGCCCCUUUGGGGGUACUCGAGUGGCGAACGGGUGAGUAACACGUGAGUAACCUGCCCUUGACUUCGGGAUAACUUCAGGAAACUGGGGCUAAUACCGGAUAGGAAUCCUUGCUGCAUGGUGGGGGUUGGAAAGCUUCGGCGGUUUUGGAUGGACUCGCGGCUUAUCAGCUUGUUGGUGGGGUAGUGGCUUACCAAGGCUUUGACGGGUAGCCGGCCUGAGAGGGCGACCGGCCACAUUGGGACUGAGAUACGGCCCAGACUCCUACGGGAGGCAGCGGUGGGGAAUAUUGCACAAUGGGCGGAAGCCUGAUGCAGCAACGCCGCGGGCGGGAUGACGGCCUUCGGGUUGUAAACCGCUUUCAGCAGGGGCGAAGCUUGUGGUGACGGUACCUGCAGAAGAAGCACCGGCUAACUACGUG
This 465-nucleotide ribosomal RNA is filed under the name uncultured bacterium. Its description in RNAcentral is "partial 16S ribosomal RNA". It matches the Rfam family "Bacterial small subunit ribosomal RNA", at positions 28 to 507 of the family's 1533-position model. The record is from RNAcentral.